UUCCAGCUCUCCUAGUGUAUCUCGUUAUUGCUGCGGUUAAAAAGCUCGUAGUUGGAUCUAGGUUACGUGCCGCAGUUCGCAAUUUGCGUUAACUGUGGUCGUGACUUCUAAUUUGCUGGUUUGAGGUUGGGUUCGCCCUUCAACUGCCAGCAGGUUUACCUUGAAUAAAUCAGAGUGCUCAAUACAGGCGCUUGCUUGAAUAGCUCAUCAUGGAAUAAUGAAACAGGACUUCGGUUCUUUUUGUUGGUUCUAGAAUUGAUCUAAUGGUUAAGAGGGACAAACCGGGGGCAUUCGUAUCAUUACGCGAGAGGUGAAAUUCGUGGACCGUAGUGAGACGCCCAAUAGCGAAAGCAUUUGCCAAGAAUGUCUUCAUUAAUCAAGAACGAAAGUCAGAGGUUCGAAGGCGAUUAGAUACCGCCCUAGUUCUGACCGUAAACGAUGCCAUCUCGCGAUUCGGAGGGUUCAUGCCCUACCGAGGAGCUACCCGGAAACGAAAGUCUUUCGGUUCCGGGGGUAGUAUGGUUGCAAAGCUGAAACUUAAAGAAAUUGACGGAAGGGCACCACAAGGCGUGGAGCUUGCGGCUUAAUUUGACUCAACACGGGAAAACUCACCCGGUCCGGACACUAUUAGGACUGACAGAUUGAAAGCUCUUUCUCGAUUUGGUGGUUGGUGGUGCAUGGCCGUUCUUAGUUGGUGGAGUGAUUUGUCUGGUUUAUUCCGAUAACGAGCGAGACUCUAGCCUGCUAAAUAGUCGACGAAUCUUCGGGUUCGUAUAACUUCUUAGAGGGAUAAGCGGUGUUUAGCCGCACGAGAUUGAGCGAUAACAGGUCUGUGAUGCCCUUAGAUGUCCGGGGCUGCACGCGUGCUACACUGGUGGAGUCAGCGGGUUUUUCCUAUGCCGAAAGGUAUCGGUAAACCGUUGAACUUCUUCCAUGUCCGGGAUAGGGUAUUGUAAUUAUUACCCUUAAACGAGGAAUGCCUAGUAAGUGUGAGUCAUCAGCUCACGUUGAUUACGUCCCUGCCCUUUGUACACACCGCCCGUCGCUAUCCGGGACUGAACUGAUUCGAGAAGAGUGGGGACUGUGGCUGCGAGGUUUUACCACUUCGCAGUUGCG
RNAcentral lists this non-coding RNA (1116 nucleotides) under Caenorhabditis japonica. Its description in RNAcentral is "Eukaryotic small subunit ribosomal RNA". It matches the Rfam family "Eukaryotic small subunit ribosomal RNA", at positions 583 to 1749 of the family's 1831-position model. The record is from Rfam by way of RNAcentral. Lineage: Eukaryota; Metazoa; Nematoda; Chromadorea; Rhabditida; Rhabditidae.